RNAcentral lists this ribosomal RNA (253 nucleotides) under uncultured bacterium. RNAcentral's name for it is "partial 16S ribosomal RNA". It matches the Rfam family "Bacterial small subunit ribosomal RNA", at positions 524 to 776 of the family's 1533-position model. The record is from RNAcentral.
UACGUAGGGUGCAAGCGUUAAUCGGAAUUACUGGGCGUAAAGCGUGCGCAGGCGGUUUGGUAAGACAGAUGUGAAAUCCCCGGGCUUAACCUGGGAAUUGCAUUUGUGACUGCCCGGCUAGAGUGUGUCAGAGGGGGGUAGAAUUCCACGUGUAGCAGUGAAAUGCGUAGAGAUGUGGAGGAACACCGAUGGCGAAGGCAGCCCCCUGGGUUAACACUGACGCUCAGGCACGAAAGCGUGGGGAGCAAACAGG